Molecule: long non-coding RNA, 480 nt
Filed under: Cicer arietinum (chickpea)
Lineage: Eukaryota; Viridiplantae; Streptophyta; Magnoliopsida; Fabales; Fabaceae
Description: long non-coding RNA (CARI_LNC003363)
Source: RNAcentral
UAAAAUUAAGACGCGAACAAACACUAAUUAUUCACGUUUCAAAAAUAUGAUAUUUUUGAUAAAUAAAAACAAUAAUAUUAUAACUCAUAACAUUGAAAACUAAAAAAUAAAGCAAGUGUAAACACUAAAUCUUAAACAAUACAAACAAUUAUUAAAUAGAGUAACUCAUUCAAAAGACAUUAUUGAAGUUCCAAGAUCUCUAUCCAUAGCACAAAAUCAACGAUAGUAAAAAAAAUUCUUAAAAUAAAGUGAAGUACAAGCCUCUAGUACUUCAGUUCCACAAGAAAACCUCCAUUGAUUGCUUGUCUUGAUCAUGUUGAAUUUAACCUACAUACAAAUAUAUUAUAGAGGAGACAUAAGGAAGAUGCGAGUUUAUCUUUCAUUAUGUAAAAUGAAUAAAGUCAUACAUAGAUUAACAUAAUACAUAGAUUAAAAUACGUUCGUGAAUCAUAUGUAUAUGGAUAAACUUUCAAUGCCAAA